RNAcentral lists this ribosomal RNA (503 nucleotides) under uncultured Sphingobacteriales bacterium. Its description in RNAcentral is "bacterial SSU rRNA". It matches the Rfam family "Bacterial small subunit ribosomal RNA", at positions 903 to 1382 of the family's 1533-position model. Lineage: Bacteria; Pseudomonadati; Bacteroidota; Sphingobacteriia; Sphingobacteriales. The record is from RNAcentral.
CGCCUUGCCAGCCCGCUCAGAAACUCAAAGGAAGUGACGGGGGCCCGCACAAGCGGUGGAGCAUGUGGUUUAAUUCGAUGAUACGCGAGGAACCUUACCUGGGCUCAAAUGUAUGUUGACGUAUUCUGAAAGGGAUACUUCUUCGGACAAUAUACAAGGUGCUGCAUGGUUGUCGUCAGCUCGUGCCGUGAGGUGUCGGGUUAAGUCCCAUAACGAGCGCAACCCCUAUCAUUAGUUGCCAACGGGUGAAGCCGGGCACUCUGGCGGGACUGCCAUCGACAAGAUGGAGGAAGGUGGGGAUGACGUCAAAUCAGCACGGCCCUUACGUCCAGGGCUACACACGUGCUACAAUGGCCGGUACAAAGGGCAGCUACCUGGUGACAGGAUGCUAAUCUCAAAAGCCGGUCUCAGUUCGGAUCGGAGUCUGCAACCCGACUCCGUGAAGCUGGAAUCGCUAGUAAUCGUGGAUCAGCCAAGCCGCGGUGAAUACGUUCCCGGGCCUU